CUCAUGGAGAGGCUUUAAUUUCAUUAGUGCUUUAGUGCUUAUUGGAAUUCAGCGAUCAAAGACAAUGUGAUGUUGCCAAGAGCCUGUCUUUCGUAUCAAUACCUCAAAACGUGCUUAGAUCAAGUGCAGUUAGUGCUCAUUGCGAUUUGAUUCUCCAAGCAAUAUCUGAGUUUUCCAGUUGAUUAUUUAUGUAUACAGUAUAUCACGGAUUCUUAAGUCAUAUGUAUUGGAGAAAAUAUCAUCGUAUAUUUGUAAAUCCGAAUGUUUCUAUAUUCUCUAGAUUUAGUCUUAUCGGUUAUGGACAUAUGUAACUAUAUAUAUACUCAUCUUCGAGUCUUGUGAAUAACAAGAAGAACAGCUUUAAACCCUUGUUUGUGAUUUCUCAUAGUAGUAGAGCCACGACAUUGAAAUCUCGAUCUUUGGUUGUUCUUCGCUUUAAAACAAAACACUCGACGUUUUUCUCUCUUUGAUUUUCGAUGGCAAAAGACGAUACGGCUCUUGCCGCGGCAGCUGGUCAAUCAGCAGCGACGAACCCGACCUCGACAAGGAGGACCAUCUCCUCCUACGACCUGACGUUUGGAGAUAACCCUGGUGCCGUUAUCUCACAGCCGCUCUUGAACGGACGAAAUUAUGACGAAUGGGCGCAAAAUCUCUGUGUUGCUUUGAGUGCUCAGAAAAAAUUUGCCUUCAUCGACGGCAGCAUCCUGAAGCCUGCUGCGAUAAAACAACCAUUUGCUGGUGACCUGGAUAAAACUCACUAUCGAACCGAAGCUGCGAUCCAACAUCUCUCACAAAGAAGUUGCGAAGGAACUUUGGGACCACAUAAAAAACGCUUUGCUCUCAAGAGUGGAGCGCGAUACCAGCAGCUACGCGGUGCCCUUGCGAACUGUCGACAGUCGGGAUCCUCCGUUGAAGACUACUUCGGGCGCUUAACCAAAAUUUGGGACGCCAUGGCUGAAUGCUGGGACAAAAGGAAUUCGAUAUCUUUCAUUACAAGUUGGGCAUUCGCGCCCUAUAUGCUCCAACUUGGGGGGUAAUUGGACGCUUCUAGAAGAUAUCAUCGUAUAUUUGUAAAUCGGAAUGUUUCUAUAUUCUUUAGAUUUAGUCUUAUCGCUUAUGGACAUAUGUAACUAUAUAUAUACUCGUCUUCGAGUCUUCGCUUAUUGAUGCAGCUCCUGAGCUCUUGGAUUGGUCAAAUGAGUUUCUGUUCCUUAUAUAUUUAAUUCUCAUGGAGAGGCUUUAAUUUCAUUAGUGCUUUAGUGCUUAUUGGAAUUCAGCGAUCAAAGACAAUGUGAUGUUGCCAAGAGCCUGUCUUUUGUAUCAAUACCUCAAAACGUGCUUAGAUCAAGUGCAGUUAGUGCUCAUUGCGAUUUGAUUCUCCAAGCAAUAUCUGAGUUUUCCAGUUGAUUAUUUAUGUAUACAGUAUAUCACGGAUUCUUAAGUCAUA
This 1447-nucleotide long non-coding RNA is filed under the name Eutrema salsugineum. Its description in RNAcentral is "long non-coding RNA (ESAL_LNC001760)". Lineage: Eukaryota; Viridiplantae; Streptophyta; Magnoliopsida; Brassicales; Brassicaceae. The record is from RNAcentral.